UGGGAUUACAGGCAUGAGCCACUGCGCCCAGCUGAUUUCUUUAAAGACAUGGAAUGCUUCAUGUAUUGGCGUGUCAUCCUCCCACAGGGGCCAUGCUAAUCUCUGUAUCAUUUCAAUUGUAGUAUAUGCACUGCUGAGGCAAGCACAGAAUCUGCAUGUUUAAUAAGCUCUCCCUCCAUUCGUAUGCCUAUUAAAGCUUGUAAAGUAGGAAACCCUGUGCUGCAAAACAAAAUCUGAACUCCUAACAAAGUUCUCCAACAGCUUUUCAAUCUUAUUUUAUCUUACUCCAACACUUGAACUCUCUGCUUCCAAUGCAAUUCAGAAAGGAAAGUAUCCUUGCAUUGACAAGUAGAAGAAUUGAGUUUUUUAUUUUAUUUUAUUUUUUUAUUUUGAGUCAAAGUCUAGCUCUGUCACCCAGGCUGGAGUGCAGUGGCAUGAUCUCGGCUCACUGCAACCUCUGCCCCUUGGGUUCAAGCGAUUCCCCUGCCUCAGCCUCCAGAGUAGCUGGGAUGACAGGCAUGCACCACCAGCCCAGCUAAUGUUUUGUGUUUUUAGUAGAGACGGGUUUCAUCGUGUUGGUCAGGCUGGUCUGGAACUCCUGGCUUCAGGUGAUCCACCCACCUUUGUCUCCGAAAGUGCUGGGAUUACAGGUGUGAGCCACAGUGCCCGGCCAGAAGAAUGAGUUAACUACAGCUGAGCACACAAAAAAGAAAUUAUCUGAAAGAAUCGAACAAAAUAACUCACCUAUUCUCUGCCCAGAGACUCAUCGCCUUUCAUCUGUGGCCUCUAUGACAUUCUUUUUUUUUUUUUUUCCUGAGAUGGAGUCUCG
Molecule: long non-coding RNA, 829 nt
Filed under: Homo sapiens (human)
Lineage: Eukaryota; Metazoa; Chordata; Mammalia; Primates; Hominidae
Description: novel transcript, sense intronic to FBXO16
Source: RNAcentral